GAUGAAGAACGCAGCGAAAUGCGAUAAGUAAUGUGAAUUGCAGAAUUCAGUGAAUCAUCGAAUCUUUGAACGCACAUUGCGCCCUCUGGUAUUCCGGAGGGCAUGCCUGUUCGAGCGUCAUUUCGACCCUCAAGCAUUGCUUGGUGUUGGGGCACCGCCUGUAAAAGUGCGGGCCCUGAAAUCUAGUGGCGAGCUCGCCAGGACCCCGAGCGUAGUAAUUAUAUUUCGUUCUGGAAGGCCCUGGCGGUGCACUGCCGUUAAACCCCCAACUUCUGAAAAUUUGACCUCGGAUCAGGUAGGAAUACCCGCUGAACUUAAGCAUAUCAAUAAGCGGAGGA
Molecule: unclassified non-coding RNA, 338 nt
Filed under: soil metagenome
Description: partial contains 5.8S ribosomal RNA, internal transcribed spacer 2, and large subunit ribosomal RNA
Rfam family: 5.8S ribosomal RNA (bases 1-120)
Source: RNAcentral